Molecule: ribosomal RNA, 447 nt
Filed under: uncultured bacterium
Lineage: Bacteria
Description: bacterial SSU rRNA
Rfam family: Bacterial small subunit ribosomal RNA
Source: RNAcentral
AGGCCAGACUCCUACGGGAGGCAGCAGUGGGGAAUAUUGCACAAUGGGGGAAACCCUGAUGCAGCGACGCCGCGUGAGCGAUGAAGUAUUUCGGUAUGUAAAGCUCUAUCAGCAGGGAAGAAGAUGACGGUACCUGUCGAAUAAGCCACGGCUAACUACGUGCCAGCAGCCGCGGUAAUACGUAGGUGGCAAGCGUUGUCCGGAUUUACUGGGUGUAAAGGGCGUGUAGCCGGGCUUACAAGUCAGAUGUGAAAUCCGGGGGCUCAACCCCCGAACUGCAUUUGAAACUGUAGGUCUUGAGUAUCGGAGAGGCAGGCGGAAUUCCUAGUGUAGCGGUGAAAUGCGUAGAUAUUAGGAGGAACACCAGUGGCGAAGGCGGCCUGCUGGACGACAACUGACGGCGAGGCGCGAAAGCGUGGGGAGCAAACAGGAUUAGAUACCCCAGUA